This is a small nucleolar RNA of Ochotona princeps (American pika), 86 nucleotides long. Ensembl annotates it as small nucleolar RNA, C/D box 86. Its record names the gene SNORD86. NCBI's taxonomy places the organism in Eukaryota, Metazoa, Chordata, Mammalia, Lagomorpha, Ochotonidae. The record is from Ensembl.
GAUCACAGUGAUGGCCAACUAGGGCGCCCUGACCCCUGCAGGCCUCUGCAGUGGGAGUGAUGGCCGGUCCUGGUGUCUGAGUGAUU